RNAcentral lists this ribosomal RNA (497 nucleotides) under uncultured bacterium. Its description in RNAcentral is "partial 16S ribosomal RNA". It matches the Rfam family "Bacterial small subunit ribosomal RNA", at positions 28 to 507 of the family's 1533-position model. The record is from RNAcentral.
GAUGAACGCUGGCGGCGUGCCUAAUACAUGCAAGUCGAGCGAACAGACGAGGAGCUUGCUCCUCUGACGUUAGCGGCGGACGGGUGAGUAACACGUGGAUAACCUACCUAUAAGACUGGGAUAACUUCGGGAAACCGGAGCUAAUACCGGAUAAUAUAUUGAACCGCAUGGUUCAAUAGUGAAAGACGGUUUUGCUGUCACUUAUAGAUGGAUCCGCGCCGCAUUAGCUAGUUGGUAAGGUAACGGCUUACCAAGGCAACGAUGCGUAGCCGACCUGAGAGGGUGAUCGGCCACACUGGAACUGAGACACGGUCCAGACUCCUACGGGAGGCAGCAGUAGGGAAUCUUCCGCAAAGGGCGAAAGCCUGACGGAGCAACGCCGCGUGAGUGAUGAAGGUCUUCAGAUCGUAAAACUCUGUUAUUAGGGAAGAACAAAUGUGUAAGUAACUAUGCACGUCUUGACGGUACCUAAUCAGAAAGCCACGGCUAACUACGUG